CCUACGGGUGGCUGCAGUGGGGAAUAUUGGACAAUGGGGGCAACCCUGAUCCAGCCAUGCCGCGUGUGUGAAGAAGGCCCUCGGGUUGUAAAGCACUUUCAGUGAGGAAGAACGCCUGGUGGUUAAUACCCAUCAGGAAAGACAUCACUCACAGAAGAAGCACCGGCUAACUCCGUGCCAGCAGCCGCGGUAAUACGGAGGGUGCGAGCGUUAAUCGGAAUUACUGGGCGUAAAGCGCGCGUAGGUGGCUUGAUAAGCCGGUUGUGAAAGCCCCGGGCUCAACCUGGGAACGGCAUCCGGAACUGUCAAGCUAGAGUGCAGGAGAGGAAGGUAGAAUUCCCGGGGUAGGGGUGAAAUGCGUAGAGAUCGGGAGGAAUACCAGUGGCGAAGGCGGCCUUCUGGACUGACACUGACACUGAGGUGCGAAAGCGUGGGUAGCAAACAGGAUUAGAUACCCCGGUAGUC
RNAcentral lists this ribosomal RNA (465 nucleotides) under Vreelandella stevensii. RNAcentral's name for it is "partial 16S ribosomal RNA". It matches the Rfam family "Bacterial small subunit ribosomal RNA", at positions 338 to 795 of the family's 1533-position model. The record is from RNAcentral. Lineage: Bacteria; Pseudomonadati; Pseudomonadota; Gammaproteobacteria; Oceanospirillales; Halomonadaceae.